This 1143-nucleotide long non-coding RNA is filed under the name Macaca fascicularis (crab-eating macaque). Its description in RNAcentral is "lncRNA (ENSMFAG00000057757.1)". The record is from RNAcentral. Lineage: Eukaryota; Metazoa; Chordata; Mammalia; Primates; Cercopithecidae.
UUCAGCCUACAGCUUGUCUUGGUUUCACCCUUUUUUCAUUUCUUUACAACAAUGAAAAUUCUAAACAGUUGAUCACAGUGCCAGGCCAAUAAGAAAGCAUUUUAGGGAGGAGAGAGGAGGGAAGGGGUUGGCAGGCACGGAGAGGACUUGACACACAGAAAGCAUUUGCCAUGGAGUCAUAACCAUUUGAUUCUAAGACACAUGCCGCCUCCAGAAGUCAUGCGGCCCCUCCCUCUGCUUCCAGUAGGGAAUGAACUUGGCGGUCCUUUUGUUGCACACGCCCGGGAGCUGCGCCGGCGCAGCGCGCCCUGCAGCCUGGGAGCGCAAGCGGUGCGCCACUGGUCCUCGGUCACCACUGCGCGCCGCGGGCUGGCGCAGGGCCCCUCUGCCGGAGGGAAACCGGCGUCCCCCCGCGCGAAGCAGCCGCUGCUCCUAAAGAGUUCAUGGGCUCACCGCGCUGAGCUCGCCAGGCGGACCCGGCUUCGCCAGGGGCCUGCUGGCUGUCCUGACACACCUGGCCUACCUCGGGGGUGCCUGGGGGGACGCCCUUCCUUUGACUGCGGGAUAGGAGCACAAUGAAAAUGGGGCGGACGUGGCUGGGAGACAGCUCUGCUCUCCGGCAGGCUCUGGGGAGUGUGUGGUACGUGGUAUCCGCACUGGUGGGUGUCGUGCGGUGAUCGAGACAUGGAGACAGGGUGUCGUUCCCACUAGGGGAGAGAGGACAGCAUUUAGAGGGAAACGAAAUGGAUCCGAGAAACCCAAAGAUGUCACAAAGGAAACGCUUCCCCGUCAUAAGCAAUCUAAAUAAGUGAUUCUUAAAGGCAUCCAUCAAAACGCAUAACCUUGUCAUUUAGAUUCGCUCGCCCACAGGGGGACUGGAGGGUACUCACCGACUAGGGCUUCACAGCCGCAUCACCGCCAGCGGUGGGCGCCUGCCUCGGCAGGGGCAGGGUGGGUGUCCGCAGGACACAGGUGCCGCCGUGGCUGCUCGCACAACCCCUGCAGCUGCGAUCCCGCCCAGUUAGCCUCGGGGGCUGCACAGCCCAGCCCACUCGCCCAGGGCCAGGGGUUCUCAAGCCGCGCGGCGAGGACGCAAGGCUGCCCCGGGCGCCUACCUACGCGGGCGCUCGGCGCCGGGACUCU